UAGGGAAUCUUCGGCAAUGGGCGAGAGCCUGACCGAGCAACGCCGCGUGAAUGAUGAAGGCCUUCGGGUUGUAAAAUUCUGUUAUAAGGGAAGAAUGGCUCUAGUAGGAAAUGGCUAGAGUGUGACGGUACCUUAUGAGAAAGCCACGGCUAACUACGUGCCAGCAGCCGCGGUAAUACGUAGGUGGCGAGCGUUAUCCGGAAUUAUUGGGCGUAAAGAGCGCGCAGGUGGUUGAUUAAGUCUGAUGUGAAAGCCCACGGCUUAACCGUGGAGGGUCAUUGGAAACUGGUCAACUUGAGUGCAGAAGAGGGAAGUGGAAUUCCAUGUGUAGUGGUGAAAUGCGUAGAGAUAUGGAGGAACACCAGUGGCGAAGGCGGCUUCAUGGGCUGUAACUGACACUGAGGCGCGAAAGCGUGGGGAGCAAGCA
RNAcentral lists this ribosomal RNA (427 nucleotides) under uncultured prokaryote. RNAcentral's name for it is "bacterial SSU rRNA". It matches the Rfam family "Bacterial small subunit ribosomal RNA", at positions 355 to 774 of the family's 1533-position model. The record is from RNAcentral.